RNAcentral lists this ribosomal RNA (497 nucleotides) under uncultured bacterium. Its description in RNAcentral is "partial 16S ribosomal RNA". It matches the Rfam family "Bacterial small subunit ribosomal RNA", at positions 28 to 507 of the family's 1533-position model. The record is from RNAcentral.
GAUGAACGCUGGCGGCGUGCCUAAUACAUGCAAGUCGAGCGAACAGACGAGGAGCUUGCUCCUCUGACGUUAGCGGCGGACGGGAGAGUAACACGUGGAUAAACUACCUAUAAGACUGGGAUAAUUUCGGGAAACCGGAGCUAAUACCGGAUAAUAUAUUGAACCGCAUGGUUCAAUAGUGAAAGUCGGUUUUGCUGUCACUUAUAGAUUGAUCCGCGCCGCAUUAGCUAGUUGGUAAGGUAACGGCUUACCAAGGCAACGAUGCGUAGCCGACCUGAGAGGGUGAUACGCCAGACUGGAUCUGAGACACGUUCCAGACACCGACGGGAGGCAGCAGUAGGGAAUCUUCCGCGAUGGAGGAAUGCCGGACGUAGCAAAGCCGCGUGAGUGAUGAAGGUCUUCGGAUCGGAAAACUCUGUUGUUAGGGAAGAAGUAAUGUUUAAGUAACUGGGCACGUCUUGACGGUACCUGAACAGAAAGCCACGGCUAACUACGUG